Molecule: ribosomal RNA, 433 nt
Filed under: uncultured bacterium
Lineage: Bacteria
Description: partial 16S ribosomal RNA
Rfam family: Bacterial small subunit ribosomal RNA
Source: RNAcentral
AACGAACGCUGGCGGCAUGCCUAACACAUGCAAGUCGAACGAGACCUUCGGGUCUAGUGGCGCACGGGUGCGUAACGCGUGGGAACCUGCCCUUAGGUUCGGAAUAACUCCCCGAAAGGGGUGCUAAUACCGGAUAAUGUCUUCGGACCAAAGAUUUAUCGCUUUUGGAUGGGCCCGCGUUGGAUUAGCUAGUUGGUAGGGUAAAAGCCUACCAAGGCGACGAUCCAUAGCUGGUCUGAGAGGAUGAUCAGCCACACUGGGACUGAGACACGGCCCAGACUCCUACGGGAGGCAGCAGUGGGGAAUAGUGGACAAUGGGCGAAAGGCUGAUCCAUCAAUGCCGCGUGAGUGAUGUAGUCCUUAGGGAUGUAAAGCGCUUUUACCCGGGAUGAUAAUGACAGUACCUGGAGAAUAAGCUCCGGCUAACUCCGUG